AGGUUUGACAUACAAGUAGUAGGAAAGGAACUGGACCGACCCGUUCGGGAGCUUUGUACAGGUGCUGGCAUGGCUGUCGUCAGCUCGUGUCGUGAGAUGUUCGGUUAAGUCCGCUAACGAGCGCAACCCUCGCUGUGUGUUACAAGUGUCACACGGAACUGCCGGUCAUAAACCGGAGGAAGGUGGGAUGACGUCAAGUCAGCAUGGCCUUUAUAUCCUGGGCUACACACACGCUACAAUGGGAAGGGACAAUAGGUUGCGAAGCCGCGAGGCGGAGCCAAUCCAGCAAAACUUCCCUCAGUUCAGAUUGCAGGCUGCAACUCGCCUGCAUGAAGUUGGAGUUGCUAGUAAACGCAGGUCAGCCAUACUGCGUUGAAUACGUUCCCGGGGCUU
This 393-nucleotide ribosomal RNA is filed under the name uncultured Anaerolineaceae bacterium. RNAcentral describes it as "bacterial SSU rRNA". It matches the Rfam family "Bacterial small subunit ribosomal RNA", at positions 977 to 1382 of the family's 1533-position model. The record is from RNAcentral. Lineage: Bacteria; Bacillati; Chloroflexota; Anaerolineae; Anaerolineales; Anaerolineaceae.